UGUGAAUGCAUUACGCAACUGAAGACAAACCUAAAAUUCUAGAUCUACCAAAUUUCUAUUCUGCAAAUCACAUAAUUUUUUCUUAUUACAUUAUUUUAAUCCCUACAUUAGAGCUUCAUGGCACCAUACGAAUGGUAGACCAGAGGGGGGCUGUCAAGGCAGGCACUUGCAUGAUGAGAGGAAUCGAAGAGAGAUGAAGAAUAAUGACCACUUAAAGGCGUACUCUGAGAGGGUUGCAAAUGAUCGGUUGGGAAGACAUGACUGGACCAUAAGGACAAAUUGUAAUUCUGUGCCUGGACGGAUGCCAGCCUCCAUUACCCUAGAGGCUGUGAGAAGUUGACCUUUGAACCCUUGGAUUCCCAGUUGGUUGCCCGUGACUGCUGCUGAUGGAGUGAACUACGGGACCGUGGGCGGGGAGAUUAAGGAGCAGAUUUGUGUGUUAAACUCGUCUCAGGCUUAAGGGUUAUGCACACAUCUCCGGAGCGAUGCCGCCUGGGUCGCAAAGGCUCCGCAGCCAGUUGGUCCCAACCAGCGCCUGCACGGCACCCCGCUCCAACAUCUUGAGGUUACUGUAUCGUAGUAUUCUAUUAGUCUGUGGAGGCGAGGCUGGUGGAGGCCUUGCCAGUGUGUCUCCUCGACACACUUUGCGUGCUACUAAUUAAAAGUUUCAGCUUCUGUCGCCAGGGAAUCUGUCCCCUGCUGUGAAGCACACAAUAGGCAUGUCGCCCCAGACUAGAGGAAUGUUGCCACUCCACUUGAAGACCUGCAGCUGGCAUUUCCUAGCUGUUAAAAAGUUCAUGGAGUUUUUGAGUGUUAAUACUUUACCCCUGAGGUACAUCGAGAGCUAAGACCCUUUAGAACUGGAAAGGCUAGUUGUUGUGAAUCAUUUUAAG
Molecule: long non-coding RNA, 893 nt
Organism: Clupea harengus (Atlantic herring)
Lineage: Eukaryota; Metazoa; Chordata; Actinopteri; Clupeiformes; Clupeidae
Source: Ensembl